GCACUCUUAGCUCAGUGGAUAGAGCGCUCGGCUCCGGACCGAGAGGUCACAGGUUCGAUUCCUGUAGAGCGCA
RNAcentral lists this transfer RNA (73 nucleotides) under Clostridiales bacterium. Its description in RNAcentral is "tRNA-Arg". It matches the Rfam family "tRNA". Rfam says of the family: Transfer RNA (tRNA) molecules are approximately 80 nucleotides in length. Their secondary structure includes four short double-helical elements and three loops (D, anti-codon, and T loops). The record is from RNAcentral. Lineage: Bacteria; Bacillati; Bacillota; Clostridia; Eubacteriales.